CUCUCGUAUUUGGCUAGUGGUGGACAGGUCAAUCGUGGCUCUGCUAAACUGACCUGUUGGUCCUCUGAUCUCCCAGACAGGGGACCCAGUCAGCUGUGGGCUGUUUCCAGCAUACAUGCUGGAUUUCCUUCCCGUGGAAACCAUGGUGGAGGAGAACAGGCAAAAGUUGGAGAGAAGCAAGGGCCUGGAGUGUUAUCUCUCAGCUUUCUGCCUUUAGUAUUUCCAUUUACGGUGCCAAUGAAGUGCAUGUAAGAAGAACCUGUAUAGGUCCACUGCUUUGUCUCCGCAAGUACAAAAGGCAGCCAAAAGCAGGGAGAAACGACUCCAUGGAGCUGGACCUUUGCGCUCCUUAUGAGCUGGUUAGCAAGCACCUGCUAUUCACCAGCUUAGGAAACAAGUUGAA
This is a long non-coding RNA of Falco peregrinus (peregrine falcon), 403 nucleotides long. RefSeq lists it as uncharacterized. NCBI's taxonomy places the organism in Eukaryota, Metazoa, Chordata, Aves, Falconiformes, Falconidae. The transcript has 3 exons. The record is from RefSeq and is a predicted model, not a curated record.